UUCCAAUUCCAACUCCAACUCCAACCUCCGUAGCAACAACAACAAUCAAAAAUAUCGCAAAAUGGAUUUCCCAUUCAACCAUGGCCGUAACUCCUCAAACGUUACCUCACACUCAUCACCACACCCAAGAGACGACACCGAAGACCACAUUCCCCACCAGCACACCUCCUCCCCCUACAACCAACCACCGCCGCCGCAUCAUCAUCAUCAACCACCACCGCCAUUCUACAACGACUCAUACCCACCACCACAACUACCUCACCAGCCAGAAACUCAAGUCUUCCACACUGGACACGUGUCCCGUGACGACUUCAGUUACCCUGCUCCACCUCCGCCUCAACCUCAUAACUACGGUGGAUACCCACCUGCACCCCCAUCCAUACCUGAUCACUCCUCCACCCCAUUCCCUAACGCUACUGUUCAUCACGUUUCUCACGAAUCACAUCACCCUCAUUUUCCAACCACCGUUCACCACGUCAGCCAUGAGGUGUCACCCAUCGGUCAUCCUAUCUCCUCCAACAAACCUACUUUCAAGAUCCUCACCAAAGCUUCCCCGAAUCACUCUCUCACUAUCCGUCGCGGCGAAGUGGUUCUCGCACCCUCCGAUCCCUCAGAUCAGCAUCAGGUAAAGUCUUUUUGUUAGAAAUUGUUUGUAGAUCUUUCU
Molecule: long non-coding RNA, 664 nt
Filed under: Lathyrus oleraceus (garden pea)
Lineage: Eukaryota; Viridiplantae; Streptophyta; Magnoliopsida; Fabales; Fabaceae
Description: Pisum sativum (pea) long non-coding RNA (PSAT_LNC010012)
Source: RNAcentral